This 163-nucleotide ribosomal RNA is filed under the name Lophogyne aeruginosa. RNAcentral describes it as "5.8S ribosomal RNA". It matches the Rfam family "5.8S ribosomal RNA". From Rfam's summary of the family: 5.8S ribosomal RNA (5.8S rRNA) is a component of the large subunit of the eukaryotic ribosome. It is transcribed by RNA polymerase I as part of the 45S precursor that also contains 18S and 28S rRNA. The record is from RNAcentral. Lineage: Eukaryota; Viridiplantae; Streptophyta; Magnoliopsida; Malpighiales; Podostemaceae.
GAACGACUCUUGGCAACGGAUAUCUCGGCUCUUGCAUCGAUGAAGAACGUAGCGAAAUGCGAUACUUGGUGUGAAUUGCAGAAUCCCGUGAAUCAUCGAGUCUUUGAACGCAAGUUGCGCCCGAAGCCUUCUGGCCGAGGGCACGUCUGCCUGGGCGUCAUGA